AGUCGGUAGAGCAUCAGACUUUUAAUCUGAGGGUCCAGGGUUCAAGUCCCUGUUCGGGCGGGAGUGGUGGCUUUUAGUACCUGAU
This 85-nucleotide microRNA precursor is filed under the name Homo sapiens (human). RNAcentral describes it as "miR-HCC1". The stretch from base 1 to 60 matches the Rfam family "tRNA", at positions 14 to 71 of the family's 71-position model. From Rfam's summary of the family: Transfer RNA (tRNA) molecules are approximately 80 nucleotides in length. The record is from RNAcentral. Lineage: Eukaryota; Metazoa; Chordata; Mammalia; Primates; Hominidae.